AUUGCUUCUCUGCCCUUUGGCUAAGAUCAAGUGUAUUAUCUGUUCUUAUCAGAGCAGAGAGCCAUUUGGUCUGCCAUUUGCAUCGUGCAUGCGAUCUUAAUCCUUUUGACGGCGAUUGAGCAGGUCAGCUGAGUCCACUGCUCUCAAAGUCAGUAAGGAGGAACAAGAGCUGUUUUUACGGCUACCUAAU
Polypterus senegalus (gray bichir) is the source of this 190-nucleotide small nuclear RNA. RefSeq annotates it as U2 spliceosomal RNA. The transcript has a single exon. Lineage: Eukaryota; Metazoa; Chordata; Cladistia; Polypteriformes; Polypteridae. The record is from RefSeq and is a predicted model, not a curated record.